GGUGAACGCUGGCGGCGGGCUUAACACAUGCAAGUCGAACGAAGCACUUUAUUUGAUUUCCUUCGGGACUGAUUAUUUUGUGACUGAGUGGCGGACGGGUGAGUAACGCGUGGGUAACCUGCCUUGUACAGGGGGAUAACAGUUGGAAACGGCUGCUAAUACCGCAUAAGCGCCCAGCAUCGCAUGAUGCAGUGUGGAAAACUCCGGUGGUAUAAGAUGGACCCGCGUUGGAUUAGCUAGUUGGUGACGUAACGGGCCACCAAGGCGACGAUCCAUAGCCGACAUGAGAGGGUGACCGGCGACAUUGGGACUGAGACACGGCGCAAACUCCUACGGGAGGCAGGAGUGGGGAAUAUUGCAAAACGGGCGAAAGCAUGAUGCAGCGACGCCGCGUGAGCGAAGAAGUAUUUCGGUAUGUAAAGCUCUAUCAGCAGGGAAGAUAAUGACGGUACCUGACUAAGAAGCACCGGCUAAAUACGUG
RNAcentral lists this ribosomal RNA (481 nucleotides) under uncultured bacterium. Its description in RNAcentral is "partial 16S ribosomal RNA". It matches the Rfam family "Bacterial small subunit ribosomal RNA", at positions 28 to 507 of the family's 1533-position model. The record is from RNAcentral.